RNAcentral lists this ribosomal RNA (301 nucleotides) under uncultured bacterium. Its description in RNAcentral is "partial 16S ribosomal RNA". It matches the Rfam family "Bacterial small subunit ribosomal RNA", at positions 509 to 807 of the family's 1533-position model. The record is from RNAcentral.
CAGUCGCCGCGGUAAUACGAAGGGUGCAAGCGUUACUCGGAAUUACUGGGCGUAAAGCGUGCGUAGGUGGUGGUUUAAGUCCGUUGUGAAAGCCCUGGGCUCAACCUGGGAAUGGCAAUGGAUACUGGCAAGCUAGAGUGUGUCAGAGGAUGGUGGAAUUCCCGGUGUAGCGGUGAAAUGCGUAGAGAUCGGGAGGAACAUCAGUGGCGAAGGCGGCCAUCUGGGACAACACUGACGCUGAGGCACGAAAGCGUGGGGAGCAAACAGGAUUAGAUACCCCGGUAGUCCCUGUCUCUUAUAC